UGUUCCCCCUGCUCCAAAAAGACAAAAACGUCACUAUCGGAGUUCAGAGAGUAGCUUGUGCUCAUCCUCCCUAUGCAGCUCUUCUUCAAGCUCUCCACCGCGACACAAACAGCAUUUCUCCAGAACCAGAUUCAGCCGGUCCAGAUCAAGUUCUUGGUCUAGGUCCAGGUCUCGAUCCCGGUCAUAUUCACCCCCUCAGAGAGUCAAAACAAGAAGAAGAUUGGGAGAUGUCUGCAGUAGCCGAGAGUCAAGGAAACUCAGGAGGGAGCAGGAAAUAAGGACCCAGAAACUCAGAGCCAUUGAUGAGCGGCGAGUGGUGUCGUGGGCCGUAUUCGCAGAACCAUGACACACGAGGAAACUCCGAGAACGCUUUGCUCAGUUGGGGA
Long non-coding RNA from Periophthalmus magnuspinnatus, 386 nucleotides. RefSeq lists it as uncharacterized. NCBI's taxonomy places the organism in Eukaryota, Metazoa, Chordata, Actinopteri, Gobiiformes, Gobiidae. The record is from RefSeq and is a predicted model, not a curated record. The transcript is spliced from 4 exons.